Molecule: long non-coding RNA, 9052 nt
Filed under: Fragaria vesca (wild strawberry)
Lineage: Eukaryota; Viridiplantae; Streptophyta; Magnoliopsida; Rosales; Rosaceae
Description: long non-coding RNA (FVES_LNC005416)
Source: RNAcentral
UCCCCACAAACACAUCCACCACAGUAUAACAUUAAAUCAUCUCCAAAUCCAUCACUUAAACAUCCCAAAAGAUAAACCAUACACAAACAUCCAAAUACUUCUAAAGUAGAUUACACACAACCAAAAUAUUAUACAAUACCCCAAGGUAAUCAGAGCAACUAAAACUAAAGGAAACAAGAAAAUACACAAGUAGGUUAAACAUGUAACCUACUGGUGAAAAGUGGUGGUGAUGUUGGUGACUAUGCCCCGCCUGCUACUAGUACCGACCCGAACUAUGCAGACUAGGCAUUUAAAACGAAGGGCCCAGGGGAAAACAUCUAAAAACGUUAGAGUCAGAGGACAAAAGUAAAUUUAUAAAAAAUAAACAAAUAAAUAAAUUUAUGCUUUCCCAAUUUAAUUUCUAUAGAAUAGCUAUAAUGCAUGCACAAGCGUUAAGGCUUUUAAUUUAUAAAUUGGCGAAUACUGAAAAUACGUGACUAGCACCGCUAGUCUCCAAUACUUUAUAAUAUUGAGUCUCCCAGGCUCUAGUAUAUAAGUAUGUAUUUACACACGUCCAUACUCCCUAUAUGAAUUUUUAUGGAUUUAGGAGUUCAUACAUGGCUAUUACGCUUGCGUCCCACGCUCACGUCACACCAUAAUUGUGGCGGUUAUUCGCUGCACCACCAUGGCGGAAAGAGGGGUGUAUAUACGUACUCAUACCCCCUAUAAGAAUUCAUACAUUCAUAUAGAGCUACGACGCUUGCGUCCCACGCUCACGUCACACCAUAAUGGCGGCUAAUUGCUACACCAUUAUGGCGGAAAGACACGUAUGGCUAGCUAGCAUUUAUAUACAUACUAUCAUUAUAAAUAUAAAUAUAUAAAUCCACCGAAAAUCUCAUUUUCGGUAACUCUCCAAAUUAAUGAAAAUUGUCAAUUAUCAAGAAAAAAAAUAUAUUCCAACAGAAGAAUAAACUGAUCAUCAAAAUAAUCCAUUGCAUGCAUUUAAUUUAAAACAAAAGUUCACUCACAUAUUUAGCCUUAAGCCUGACGUCGAUCCGUGGUCUCUUCAGCUCGAGCCUCCUCACGUCCUGUUCAAAAUAUAUAAUUAAGUCCCCAACUAAAAUUCGAUACUUAUAUAAUUAGGCAAGAAUAAAAGUGAGCGUUAUACAACGCUCGUCAUUGCCCAACUUUUCUAUUCAUCGUGUGAUUCUACCCGGACUUCACCACUAGCAUAAGAGUCCUUAAAACAACAUCUAAAGCUUAAUCCAUAGAAACUCAAUGCCCAAUUUCUAAUCCAAGAACCAAUAAUUCCACCACCUCCGGAUUAAAUUCUAAACUUAACAUACACUCUUCCAAAAAUCCCAAACUUAAUAAUAAUGGACUCCCCUCUUCAAAUACCACUCACAGAACUCAAAAGAAUCACUUCAACAUGGUGGCACUGCCGUCUACACCGUCAGCAGCGGCGGCCGGCCACCACAUAAUUCCGGCCACCUCCAACGACUACCCAAAUUUCACACAAACAUCAACUCAACCCGCUGAUCAACUUUCAUAAUUAACACAAAGCCCAAUUCCAAGUAUAAACAUGUUAAUCGAAGCAAAAACAGUAAAACCCAAAUUGAAAAUGCUAGAACUUCAACUAUUCGAUUCUCCUUACCAAGAACGAAUUGGACCAAGUCCUUUUGAGGGGUUACUACCCUAGGUGAGCACUACAAGAUGAGACAAGAAUCCCCUUCGAUGGUGGCCGGAGGAGUGAGUUCCGGCGAGAAGUCAACCAAGCUUUUGGAGGGGAUUUCUCUCACAAGCUUGAGUUGGAGGUUUGAUCACCAACCUAGAAAGAUGAAGGAGAUGACGGUGGGUUGAAUGGGACCGGUGUGGCGGCCCAGUUUGGUCGGUGGCGGGCAGAUUUGCUGGCAGAGGGAGGGAGAAUGGAAAUCGGGGGAGAGGAGAGAAAAGAGAGAGUUUGGGUUUUUUUUUUUUGUUUUGUUUUUAACAGGUUUCCCGAUCUGGAAACUUCUAAAAUGGAAGUUUCCCAUUUUUAACCAAACCACAAUAUAAAAUUACCCCCUUUUUAUUUACCAGCUUUUUACCUACUUUCCAAAACACAUUUAACUCAUGUCUGCUACUUCAUUUUAUCGUCCUUAACGACUUUCCAUAAGGGAAAACCCCGUAAUAGUUGUCAUAUAAAAGUCGUCUCUGGUCCUUUGAACUAUGAGACCCCUAACGAAGGCAGUAUAAACUCAGGGUAAUACAACGUAAAUAAUUAGGGUAAUAAUUAAGGAUCGGGAUGUGACAGUAAUGCCCAUAUGCUGGGUCGAAUAUGUGUUGACCUAGAGUAUUCAUAGGGUAUAAACAAUGACGUUAUAAGACAUAGUAACAGUGUCACAUCCCAACCCUUAAAUUUUUACCUUAUUUACUAGCUUGGUAUUUAAUAAGAAUUUUACCGUCUCCGUCAAUGAGGUUAUAGUCUAAUUGGUCCUUAUAGGGGUUUUGAGGGACGAUUAUUUUGGUGGAAUUAUUCGUAGGAGAAAAUGUGACGAUAGUAAAAAUGAUAAAUUUUAGCUAGUAAAAAGUAAUUGUUUUAGGGUAUUUUUAUUGGGGUGUUUUAUGUUAUGGAGUGGGGUGUUUUAGGGUGGUAUUAAAGAGUUGGAUCGGGUACUGGAGGCCCAAAUCCUUUUUCUCCUUCUCUCUUUUCCUCCCUGUUCCCUUUCUCCCGAGCUCUCUCUUCCUCUGUCGGAAGUCCAGCGCCUGCCGCCGUCCGGCUAGCAACCGGCCGCCGCUCCAGUCCAGUUCGGACCCCCGUCGUCUCCUCUCUCUUUCCGGCCUAGCGUCGAAGCUGGUAGCGUCGCCGGAGAGGAGAAAACCAGCCGGAAACGCCGACUGCUCCUUCGCCGGAACUUCCUCCUCCGGCCACCAUAGCUCGAGAUUUUUGGCUCAUCUUGUAACUCUCAUCAAGAUUAGUGAUCCCUCAAAAGGAAUCGACCUAGUUCGGUCUUGAUAAAGAGAGAUGUUUAAUUGAAGUUCUAGGGAUUUUUGGAUGUUUUGGUUCGAUUUCCUUAGUUACCCUUAGAAUUGGACUAAGUGUUAGUUUUGAAAGUUGUUGUGCAUGAUGAGAGGAUUAUUCUGUCAAAAUUUCAUAGACAUUGGAGGUCGCCAGAGUCGGCCUCCGGCCGCCGCCGCUAUUUGGGAGAUUUUUAUGGUUUUAAAUGUGGAAUAUUAAUGGGAGUUUAUUGAUGUGAAUUAUGGAAUUUUUGGAGGAGUUUCGGUAAGGUUUGUGAAUUUCCGAAGUUUGGUAUUUUUGGCGGUUAAUUAAUGUAGAAUCCGGCCGUAGGAUUAAAGUCGUUAAAUCUGUGGGAGGUUGUGUUACGGCUGCCGAUUUUGGUAUUAAAGUUUGGAUCGUUUCGGUUUAAGAAUAUCGAAGUUAGGCGAGAAUGAGCGUGGUUACGGCUCAUAUUUAUUUUGCCUAUUUUUGAGUAAGUAUUGGAUUUUUGGUUGGUAAUUUAAUUAUAUAUUUGGAACAGGACGUGAGGAGGCUCGAGCAGAAGUGGCCUCAGAUAGACAUCAGGCUUAAGCCUAAUUUGUGAGUGGAUUUUUGUUUUAAAUAAUAUGCAUGCUAUGGUUCAUGGAUGACCAAUUAGUUUUGUUGGAGCAUUUGACCUCAUUUUAAUUUUGACGAUUUUAUUUCUCUUAGAGAGUUACCGAAAAUGGGAUUUUCGGUGAAUAUAAAUAUUUAUUUAUGAGGCGAGUAUGUAUAUAUAUGUUAGCUAGCCAUAUGUGUCUAUCCACCUUAAUGGCGUAGCAUAUAGCCGCAUUAUGGUGUGACGUGAGCGUUGGACGUGAGCGUAGUAGCCCUAUAUGAGUGUUUAAUUCAUAUAGAGGGUAUAGACACAUAUUUAUACACCCGUCUGUCCACCUUAAUAGCAUAGUGUAGCACCGCAUUAAGACGUGACUUGAGCGUUGGACGCGAGCGUAGUAGCCCUAUAUAAACCCAUGAAUUUAUAUAGGGAGUAUGGAUGUGUGUAAAUACAUACAUAUAUUUUAGAGCCUGAGAGGCUCGAUAUUUUAUGAGAUAAAAGUUUUAUCGCUUGCAGCAUGCAUUCGAUUUUUCCUUGAAAAUUGAUUUGGGGAAACAUAAAUAUUUUACUUAUUAAUGUAUCUUUGUCCACUCACUCUAACGUUUUCAAAUGUUUUCCCCUGGGCCCUUCGUUUUAAAAUGCCCAGUCUACAGAGUUCGGGUUGGAUCUAGUAGGAGGCAAGGCAUAGUCACCCGCAUUUCCACCACUUUUCACCAGUAGAUUACCUGUUUAACCUGCCCGUGUUUUCUUGCUUCCGCUAGUGUCUAGUAGAUCUGAAUACUUUGGGAUUAAUGUAAAUUAUUUCGGUGGUGUGCUCAGUCUGUUGAUUUCUGUUUAGAGUAUCUGAAGGAUAAGGUUUACUGUUUUAGCUGGAUAUUUAUGUGAUGUUUGGAUGUUGAUGUAUUGUUGAUUAUGUGGUGGUUGUGUUUGUGGGGAGCGGAUGGCUCCAGGAGUUAAGGUUGGAUGUGUGUUAGUAGAAGUGUAAAUUUGAAAAUUUUCAUGUUAGGGUUGUCUAUUUUUAAAGGAGGUUUUGCAAAUUUUUCGAUAAAUCUUUCUUUGGGAGUGGUCCCCGCACGACUUACUCCGGGUUUUAAGGUAAAAUUCGGGGUGGGUCCUGACAAACAGUAAAUAGACACUCUCGCUACCCAUAACCGGUAAAAUUGUUAAAUUUAUUGUAUUAAUGAAUUUUAUGAUUGGUAAUUGGCUUAGUUUGCUGAGUACGUCAAAUAGAGGUCUUGGUAGUAGGAUAGAACUGAAAGUCAUGUAGGUGAGUAAUAAAUAUAAUAAAGAUACUUUGAUUUGUUCUUUUGAGUAAAAAUAAUCUCGUAAUCUUGAUUUCUUUUUCACGUGACCUUACCAUAAUGGUUCCGGCAAAAAAAAAAAACAUUCGGUCAUAGGCAGAGCGUUUGAGGCUGAGGAAGGUGAGCAACAUAGGAGUGAUGCUGCUCUGGCGGCCUCGAGUGGAAGCACAUGCAAUAACAGGGCCAAAGUGGCUGGCAAAUAGAUAGGCGAAGUAAUUCAUGUCAUCAUAGUAUAGCCUUGUGUAGCGUCUGUAACUUGAACUUUCAUUUGACGGCCAUGAACUGCCGAAGUGAAUGAAUUUUGAUACUAUGUUUUUAGCCCAAGUGUGUUUUGAGCGAUAAACCUCUCGUUUUCUUUUGCUUUGCUGACUCUAUUAUAUAAUUUAUUGAAAUUUCUCUGUAUUUUUUGCUAAAUGAAAUUACCAGAAAGAUUAUACUUUUUCUUUGCUUUGACGCUUGGUGGAGAAGCAUCCAUCUUAAGAAAAAUAGUUUGAACGUUUCAUUGAUGGUGAGUUCUGGAAUGCUCCGGAGCGUCUGUGCUCCGCGUUUGUUUGCCUUACGUGCCGAUCCUCCAUUGGCUCCUGUAUUUCGUCUGUGUUAGUCACCCGUUAGUCUCCUUGAGCGCGUGAGUUGCAUAACUCGAUAAGUAUUUCAUCCGCAAUUAGAGAGGGCAGACAAGUUGGAUGUGGGUAAAUUGGUCACUGAAUUCUUUAGUGAAAUGGGAAUAUCAAUGAAUGAGAUCGAUCUAUCUCCCUUUCCUUGAUCUGAUAGGCUUGAUUAAGAGCGGCCGUUUUGAUCUAGUCGGCUUUCUUGGAGGGCUUGGUGGCGAACUGGUGAUGGUCUGAUUUCUUGGCUGCUUCUUCGGCGAACUGGUGAUGGUCUCUGUCCUCUUGACCUCGGCCAGCCACCUACUCCUCACCUAAUUCUGGUAAGUACCAAGAUUCCAUCUUUCUCUUUGAUUUGAUUUCAUUCAGUUUAUGUUAUUGGUAUUUAAUUUGCAAGCUGUGUAUGAGCAGUAGGAGAUACUUUGAGAAUUUAAUCAAUGGGUCUGAUAUUGUUCAGAGUCUAUGGAAGGUAUUUGGUAACAAACUGGUCUGAUUGAUAUGGUUAUCCUUCAUCAAACAUUUGGAAUUUUAGAAUAUUUCCAAUUGAUAUUGAGUUCAAUACUUGCACGAAUUCUAAUUUGUGAUUCAGUAUAAAACUAUGAAUAAACCAUCUGGCUGGGUACCAAACUGAAUUCCUUGUAACUAGUUAAUCAAAGAGAGCUGUGGCAAUUCAAGCAAAAGAAUAUGUCAUUUGGUGUAUAUAAAUUUGAUGUAUGAACAUCUACACACGUAUGUGUAAAGCUAGUAUCUAGCUCUUAAUGAGGAGAAUAUAUAUGGAUGGCUAGUUUUACUAAAAGUUUCUAGUCUUCCUAAAAGUAGUAGCUUAUGUCAUAUAUUUAUAUUGUCGAUUUUUUCAUAUGAUCAAAAUACAUUGAGAUAAUUCAUUCAAGGUUUCCUUUGAAAUUGACAGCUUGCCACAUUGGGUUUUCCUUCACAUUUGAGAUAUAUGGCUGAUCUUACUGUAGUUGGUUGCUCCAUUAUAAUAAAUUCAUCUUCCAGAUGGUAACAAAUGGUAUGUCUGUCUAAUUCCUAAUCUAAAACUAUGUUCUUCCAGUAAAAUGACUGAUAUAAUGUUCUUUGUAAGAUGGGUUUGGUGAAUGUGAGAUUUCUUAGAAGUUGAAUUUGGAUGUUUUCAUUCAUGUUAUUUUUCAUAUUUAAGUUUCACCCUUGUUGGAAGCAUUUGCUUAGUGAACUUCGUUUUGGUUUUAUUCGUCACUUGUUAUUGAGAGUUUAGGUUGCCCGCUGAUAUCGCCUGUUGGUUCUUAAGGUUUUAGCGUUGAUUAUAUCGUUUAGUUUUGAAAACCAUAACACAAUUUAUCGUAUGUGAAUAAAGCAUGCAUUUGGAUUUUAUUUAAUGAGUGUGCGAAUUUAAACUGAUUGAACGUGACUUUUGGAGGAAGAAAGUUAUUUGAACGUGCAGAGAUGCCGAGAACCAAUCUUUAUUACUUGAUUCUUAUCAAUAUAUAUAUGUCCGACUUACCAGUCCCUACAUUGGAUAUUUCGAUGAUCUGUGGUAUACUAGAACUGAUGCGCUUGUAUCUGAUUUUUGUGCUUGAUUUGAAACAUAUAUAGAUAGCCUGAGUUGGUAGCUGCUGCUAUCAGUUUUGAAUGUUUCAUUUUCCACAAGGUUCUAUAUGACUGUCAACGUUUGAUUGAUUAUUUAUGACACUGAAUUGUUGAUAGUGUAAGGCCGGCGGGGCUAGCGCCGACGCCGCCGGCGGUUGGGAGAUUUUAAUGUUUUUAAAUUUGGAAUAUUAAGGGGAGUUUAUUGAAGUGAAUUAUGGAAUUUUUGGAUGAGUUUUGGAUAGGUUUGUGAAUUUCCAAAGUUUGGUAUUUUUGGCGGUUGAAUAAUGUAGAAUCCGGCCGUAGGAUUUAAGUCAUUUUCUGGGGGAAGUUGUAAUUAGGGCUGCCGGUAUGUUCGGUGAAGUUUGAACCAUUUUGAGUUAAGAAUGGCGAAGUUGGGCAAUGAUGAGUGUGUGGGAGGCUCACGUUUAAUUUUGCCCAUUUUGUUUAAAUAUUGGAUUUUUAGUUGGGAAAUUAAUUGUAUAUUUGGUUCAGGUUGAGAGGAGGCCCGAGCAGAAGAAGCCUCGGAGCGACAUCAGGCUUAGGCCUAAAUUGUGAGUGGACCUUUGUUUUAAUUAAAAAGCAUGCGAUGAAUUAUCUUGUUGAUCAUUUAUUUCUUUUCCUGAGAUUUAUUUUCUUUCUCGGAUAUUUGGCAAUUUUCCUCCUUUGGAGAGAUCCCGAAAAUGAGAUUUUCAGUGGAUAUGUUUAUGGAUAUUAUGAGUAUAGUAUGUAUAUAAAUGCUAGCUAGCCAUAUGUGCUUGGUCGGUCAUAAUGAGGUAAAAUGCCAUUAUGACGUUACGUGAGUGUUAGACACUAGCGUCAUAGCCCUAUAUGAAAACUACUUGCUUUUUUGGUUUAUUUAGGUUUUCAUACAGGGAGUCCACACGUAUAUAAAUACACUGUCCUCUUUGGUCAUAAUGAGGAGAAAAUACCAUUAUGGCGCAACGUGAGCGUUAGACGCCAACGUUGUAACCUUGUAUGAAUUUCUAUUUUUCUAAAUUGUUUCUAGGAUUCAUACAAGGAGUCUGACGAGUGUAAAUACAUACGAAUAUAUGAUUAUAUAUAAUUUAGCCUGAGAGGCUCCAUUUUAUUUGAGUUGGUGACUAGCCGGAGCUAGUCGUGAAAUUGCCAGUUUUUGAGUUGAGCGCUUUUAAACAGUCGCAUGCCGUCUAUUUUCUUUGGAAAAUAAAAAUGGGAAUGCAUAAAUAUUUUUUAUUAAAUUAUUUUUAUCCACUCACUCUAACGUUAUUAAAUGUCUUCCCCUGGGCCCUUCAUUUUAAAAUUCCCAGUCUGCAGAGUUCGGGUUGGACCUAGUAGGAGACGAGGCAUAGUCACCCGUAUUUCCACCACUUUUCACCAGUAGGUUACAUGUUUAACCUACAUGUGUUUUUCUUGCUUCCUCUAGUGUCUAGUAGCUCUGAUUUUCCCUUGGGGAUAUUGUAUAAUAUUAUUUUGGUUGUAGGUGAAGGUUUGUUGACAUUUUAGAAUAUUUGGCGAAGGAUUUAUGUUAUCUUAUUUGGAUAUUUAUGUGUUGUGUUGUUAUUGGUGGUGGUUGUGUUUGGGGAGCACGUAGGCUCCAGAAGUUAAGGUUGGAUUGAGAAUUAUAGGAGUGUUUGCAGGUUCCUUUAGGAAGGGUUGUCCAUUUUCAAGGGAGGUCAUGCCGAAUUUUCGGUAAUAUCUUCCUUGGAGGUGGUCCCCGCACGUCUUACUCCGGGUUUCAGGGUGAAAUUCGGGGUGGGUCGUGUCAAUUGGUAUCAGAGCUUUAGGUUUCCUUUUCCUGCUUCCUUGUCACUAUCAGAAUCACAACGUGCCUACUAAUAUGAUAUAACUUGUAUAAUAGGUUUUAUGCAAGUAUACAACUUUGUGAACUAACUACACACGGAAAGCAAAAUUUUCAAAUAUCUCGUGAAAUAAAUUGUGAUCGAAAUAGUGAAAUACGGUUAUGGUUGAAAAAUCAUAAAUUUUCGAUAAUGUUUGGUCCCCGAUCGACACGGUCAACACUAUUUACGUUUAUGAGCCCUAUCUUUGGGAG